Molecule: transfer RNA, 75 nt
Filed under: Cronartium comandrae C4
Lineage: Eukaryota; Fungi; Basidiomycota; Pucciniomycetes; Pucciniales; Coleosporiaceae
Description: tRNA-Und (NNN) (tRNA-Und-NNN-50-1)
Rfam family: tRNA
About the family: Transfer RNA (tRNA) molecules are approximately 80 nucleotides in length. Their secondary structure includes four short double-helical elements and three loops (D, anti-codon, and T loops).
Source: RNAcentral
GUUUCUGUAGCUCAGCGGUAUAAGAGCAGUCAUUCUAGUAUCAGACAGUCAUGGGUUUAAAUCCCAUUGGACACA